GUAGUUCCGUUCCAUUGAUUGAUUCCAUCCAUCAAACUCGAAGCGCAGGCCCUAAGCUUCCCUCACCCAGCCCUCAUCUCAUCUGUCUGUGUCGAAUUCCAGCCAGCCACUGGCCCACCACCACACCAUACUAUCGUCUUUUACUCUCCAAUUUUCCUUCACCACACAGCCACUGCUGUCUCUUGCGAUCUCUCUCUUCAGGCGAUUUUCUCUCACGGACAGAACUUGCGAUCUUUCUCAUCACCACACCGAGUCCGAGUCUCACUCUCACCCUAAAUUAGGUUGUUUUUCUUGAACCUGCUGAUUCUCUACUAAUUAUUUCCUAGUAGCACUGUUGCUAGUGAAAAUGCCUUUAGUCUUGGUUGGAGAGUUGUUGAUCAUUUUAGAACUUCCUUAACACCUAAAAGUUGAGGCUUUAGUGUGUACUAGUGUUUGGCUUAGAGGAAAUGAAUUUUGUUUCUACAAGGAGCCUACACUUGACGAAUUCCAUUUCUACAAGGAGCUUGAACGCUUAGAAAGAUGCACGGUUAAUUUGAGAGGUGAGGAGAAUACAACACAAGAAAAUGAAAUACCACCUCCACCUCCUCGACCACCUCAAGUUCAAGUUCAACAACGUCAAAAUCAAUCACUACCUCCACGACCACCCAUUGUAAGGGGAAGGGCUCAAGCAUCAACAUCAAGGGGAAGAGUACAAGUACCAACAAGAAGGGAGCAACCACAAGCAUAAAAAAGAUCAAGGGGCCGAAGAGGCCAACAAUCUUCAUAAAUUUUAAGCUUUGCUUUUUUGCUUUUGGUUUGUAACUUAAUUAUUGAAACUUUGGCUCGUAACUAAUUUUUUUUGCUUUUGGGUUUGUAACUUAAUUAUUGAAACUUUGGCUCGUAACAAAUUCCAUGGUAAGCUGCAAUGAAAAGAAAAAAGGCUCGGACCAUAGAAUCAGGGAGA
Molecule: long non-coding RNA, 943 nt
Organism: Pyrus x bretschneideri (Chinese white pear)
Lineage: Eukaryota; Viridiplantae; Streptophyta; Magnoliopsida; Rosales; Rosaceae
Exons: 3
Source: RefSeq, a predicted model, not a curated record